CUGCCUGAUUUAGCUCUAGAAGCCGUUAUAAAUUGUACUGUCGCAGUAUCCUCGAGACGAGUACUCCAGGUAGUUUAGAAUACAUUUACGCUCGUGCUGGUAUGCCGAGUGGAUUUUUACAGGGUCGUUUGGGCUGUUUCGGACUUAUGGGCGCCGUUGGGGUUGACGGUGGGCUCGGUUCGCCGUUUUGGCGUCAGAUUGUGCCGAGGACACGUUACUUGUUGGUUGUUAAACCAGUUAGAGUCAGUUACUUGGACUUUGGCUUGACAGAGCCUGAUUGAGCUCGACAGAGAUACGCUGCAUACUCGGUUGGGUAGCGCCCACGAGUGCCACUCCGGAGACGGCUUUGUGCUUUUGCGUUGGUGUCGCUCAUGCCGGUUGGACUUGCUCUCCACGGACCAGUUAGUGUGGAGGUAGCUGGAUAGUCGCAACUGGGCAGGGACGGGUGUAUUCACAGUCUCAGGAAUGGGUAUGUUUACAGUCCCGAUUAGAUUGGGUUAGAUUUGACAUUUCCUACAGUUGGUUAGUGUAGAGCAUGAUAGUGUAGUGAUUUGUAGCGGUUGAGUUUAUUUCCUGUAUUUUCCUACUAUCUUGGCUCCCCUCUGUAGACUUAGUGGGUGGACCGAU
Molecule: long non-coding RNA, 627 nt
Filed under: Ananas comosus (pineapple)
Lineage: Eukaryota; Viridiplantae; Streptophyta; Magnoliopsida; Poales; Bromeliaceae
Description: long non-coding RNA (ACOM_LNC010498)
Source: RNAcentral